GCCGGGGAGGGGACCGACCCCCAGUCGCCCGGAGCCGAGAAACGGGGCUGGGAGACGAUCCCUCCCCGGC
This is a non-coding RNA of Ornithorhynchus anatinus (platypus), 70 nucleotides long. Lineage: Eukaryota; Metazoa; Chordata; Mammalia; Monotremata; Ornithorhynchidae. The record is from RefSeq and is marked provisional.